Molecule: ribosomal RNA, 460 nt
Filed under: uncultured bacterium
Lineage: Bacteria
Description: SSU rRNA
Rfam family: Bacterial small subunit ribosomal RNA
Source: RNAcentral
AGAAUCAACGCUGGCGGCGUGCCUAACACAUGCAAGUCGAACGAGAAAGUGGAGCAAUCCAUGAGUAAAGUGGCGUACGGGUGAGUAACACGUGACUAACCUACCCUCGAGUGGGGAAUAACCUCGGGAAACCGGGGCUAAUACCGCAUAACAUCUUCGGAUCAAAUGCGUAAGCAGCUUGAGGAGGGGGUCGCGGCCGAUUAGCUAGUUGGCGGGGUAAUGGCCCACCAAGGCAAUGAUCGGUAGCCGGCCUGAGAGGGCGCACGGCCACACUGGAACUGAAACACGGUCCAGACUCCUACGGGAGGCAGCAGUGGGGAAUUUUGCGCAAUGGGGGAAACCCUGACGCAGCAACGCCGCGUGGAGGAUGAAGCCCCUUGGGGUGUAAACUCCUUUCGAUCGGGACGAUUAUGACGGUACCGGAUGAAGAAGCACCGGCUAACUCUGUGCCAGCAGCCGC